GACGAGGGGUCCAAGCGUUGUUCGGAAUCAUUGGGCGUAAAGCGCGCGUAGGCGGCCCUGUAAGUCCGUUGUGAAAGUCAAAGGCUCAACCUUUGAAAGCCGAUGGAUACUGCAGGGCUAGAGUCCGGAAGAGGCGAGUGGAAUUCCUGGUGUAGCGGUGAAAUGCGUAGAUAUCAGGAGGAACACCGGUGGCGAAGGCGGCCCUCUGGACGGAUACUGACGCUGAGACGCGACAGCGUGGGGAGCAAACAGG
Molecule: ribosomal RNA, 253 nt
Filed under: uncultured bacterium
Lineage: Bacteria
Description: partial 16S ribosomal RNA
Rfam family: Bacterial small subunit ribosomal RNA
Source: RNAcentral